GUCUAAUUUCUAUUCCUUUUUAAGUGAAUAAGAUGUGAUGCUGUGCUAUGGAAAUUAAUAUUUUAUUAUGGGCAACUGAUAAAUCUGGAAGUCUUUCAGCAGAAUAAUCAAUCUAGUCACAUUGUGGAGUUUAGGCAAGUCUUAACAGAGACUAGAGGAAAGGAAAUCUGUACUGGGAUAUCCAGAUGGCAUCAAAUAAGCAUAUAAUCUACAUCAGUAACACCAGAAAAGAAGAAACAUUUGGAGAAGGGAAGACAUCAAAAUCAAUUCAGUACAUACUAUUUGAAUGUAAAGACAGCAUGUCAAAUGGAAGAAAAUAUUUGCAAACUAUUCAUCUAACAAGGGACUAAUAUCCAGAAUACACAAGGAAUUCAAACAACUCAAAAGUAAGGAAGAUAAUAAUAAUCCCAUUAGAAAGUGGGCAAAGAACGUGAAUAGACAUUUCUCAAAAGAAGACAUACAAGUGGCCAACAGGUAUAUGAAAAAUGCUCAACAUACCUAAUCUUCAAGGAAAUGAAAAUCAAAACAGAAAGAGAUAUCAUCUUACCCCAGUAAGAAUGGCUAUUACUAAAAAGACAAAAACAGUGCUGAAAAUUUUCAUGGAGAUGGAGCAAGAUAGCCAAAUAGAAGACUCCAGCAAUCAUCCUCCCAAAAGGCACAUCAAAUUGAACAGCUAUCCACACAUAAAAGUGCCUUCAUAUGAACCAAAAAUCAGACAUAUUUUAAAACUAUAAAUCACAAUGAGGAAGUCAUUAGGGAUUCAAAGAAAAAUCUUCAAUAGAAGAAAGAGAACAAGCACUGAAAAAAAAACCAACAGAAUAUCUGAAGACUGUGGGACAACUGCAAAAUCUCUAACAUCUCUCUAAUGAAAAUUCCAUAAGGAGAAAAGAAACGAUAGGAACAGAAGAAAUAUUUGAAACAAUAAUGACUGAGAUUUUCCCCAAAUGAAUGUAAGACAGCAAACCAGAGAUCCAAGAAGCUCAGAAAACACAAAGCAAAAUAAAUAUAAAACAAAACAAAAACUCCAAAUGAUGCCUAGGCAUAUCAUUUUUAAACUAUAAAAAAACAAACAAGAAGAAAAAAUCCUGAGAGCAGUCAGAGGAUAGAGACACUUUACCUCUAAAACAAUAAUUACAUCUGACUUCCCUUGCACUUUUCAGUGCAAGCAAGAAAAGAAUGGAUUGAAAUAGUUAAACUGUUGAUAGAAAAGAAACACCAACCUAGAAUUCUGUACCAUAAAAAUUAUCUUUCCAAAGUGAAAGAAAAAUAAAGACUUCCUCAGACAAAUAAUAAUUGAUGAAAUUUGUUGCCAGUAGCUGCCUUGUAAUAAAUAGUAAAGAAAUUUCUUUAGAAAGAAGGAAAAUUUUAUAGGUUAGAAACCUGAAUGAAGAAAGAACAUCAAAGAAGGAAUAAAUGAAGUAAAAUUAAAACUUAUUUUUCUUACUCUUAAUCUAACAAAUAAAAUUUUGUUCAAAAUAAUAAUGGCAAUAAAUUCAAUUAUAUAUUCUAUUAUGUAUGUUGAUAUAUACAUAAUUGAUAUGGUUUGACCCUGUGCCCCUACCCAAAUUUGACCUUGAAUUGAAGUAAUCCCCUUAUGUCAAGGGCAGGACCAGGUGGAGAUAAUUGAAUCACAGUGGCGUUUUCCCCCAUACUGUCCUCAUGAUAGUGAGUUCUCAUGACGUCUGUUGGUUUUAUAAGGGGCUUUCUCCCCAUUCACUCUGCACUUCUCCUUGCUGCUGCCAUGUGAAGAAGGAUGUGUUUGCUUCCACUUUUGCCAUGAUUGUAAGUUUCCUGAGGCUUCCCCAGAUAUGCUGAACAUGAAUCAAUUAAACCUUUUCUCUUUAUAAACUAACACAGUCUCAGAUAUGUCUUUAUUAGCAGUGAGAAUGUACUAAUACAAUAAUCAAGUAUAUUGUACUUAUAUAUGUUUAUGUGUAUGUGUAUAUAUACACAAAUGAAAUAAAUGACCACAAUGAUACAAGGGAUGGGGAGGAAUCAGGAUUAUUUUGUUAUUAGAAGGUGCUCACAUUACACAUAAAGUGUUUUAAUGUUAUUUAAAAGUGGAUUUGGGUUCCUUACAAAUGCCUAUGACAAACUCCACAGCAACCACCAUAAAAGCUAAAGAACAGGAUGCAUAACUGAUAUGCUAAGAGACAGAGAAAAUCGAAUUAUAUCAAGUGUUCAACUGAAUACCACAAAGCACAGAAAAAGAGUGGAAAACAAAAACAGACAAAAAGAACAAGGGAAACAAAUAGAAAAAGUAACAAAUAUGGAAGUUGUUAACCUAAACAUAUCAAUAAUCACUUUGAACACGUUAAACAACAGAGGUUGUCAGAGAGGGUCAAAAAAUGAGACCCAGUUAUAUAUAUUCUACAAGAAACCCACUGUAAAUAUAAAG
This 2398-nucleotide long non-coding RNA is filed under the name Homo sapiens (human). RNAcentral's name for it is "HSALNT0210151". The record is from RNAcentral. Lineage: Eukaryota; Metazoa; Chordata; Mammalia; Primates; Hominidae.